Molecule: ribosomal RNA, 253 nt
Filed under: uncultured bacterium
Lineage: Bacteria
Description: partial 16S ribosomal RNA
Rfam family: Bacterial small subunit ribosomal RNA
Source: RNAcentral
UACGUAUGGUGCAAGCGUUAUCCGGAUUUACUGGGUGUAAAGGGAGCGCAGGCGGCACGGCAAGCCUGAUGUGAAAGCCCGCGGCCCAACCGCGGGACUGCAUUGGGAACUACCGGGCUGGAGUGCCGGAGAGGUAGGCGGAAUUCCUAGUGUAGCGGUGAAAUGCAUAGAUAUCACGCAGAACUCCGAUUGCGAAGGCAGCGUACCGGCAUCCAACUGACGCUGAGGCACGAAAGCGUGGGGAUCAAACAGG